UGUUAAAAUUUAUGUCCAUUUCUAUUAUUAAAAACUGACUUGGUUGACAGAAUAAUGUGUACCUUAUGUUAAUGUAUAAUGACUAGCUUUUAAUAAUAGAAAUUGAUGUAACUUUUAACA
This is a non-coding RNA of Gossypium raimondii (Peruvian cotton), 120 nucleotides long. The record is from Rfam. Lineage: Eukaryota; Viridiplantae; Streptophyta; Magnoliopsida; Malvales; Malvaceae.